UGGCUCUGCACCCGAUCCGAGCGUCCACGGCUUUGUCGGUGUUUCUCGAGUCCGCCUUUCGCUUGUCGGUGCGCGACCUGGACAGGGAGGCCGUUUGCUUCAGUCUGUGCGGGUGGAGAACCUACCGCCAUUUGUUCGGCCGCGAAAAUCGUGUUUCCUUCGAUGAGGCCGACACUGAGGAGCGUCCGGAUGGCGAGGCGUUGCCAGACUUGGAAGAAGACGAGGACUUUGAUGGACAGGAACUUCUGCAGGGGUUUGUAGGGCCGAAGAAGAGGUUCCGUGCAGAGGUAGAACUGGAGGAGUGAAAGCAUGCAAGUGAAGACGGAGGCGAGAAGCGCGACAGAGGUCAGCCCAGGCAUGCCGAGAAAGUGCGACCACUGGAGACUCGUCUCUCUCGGCUCUGAAGGGGACACCGCUGGGCUGGGAGAGGGCGAGCUGAGGACAUCGCUUUCUGUUAAAAGGGGGAGAGAAACAGGCAGGGACAGGAAGGCGGGAGCUGAAGACAGAACGGUCCACACGGAAGAGACUCCCGCCACAGAGGAAGGAAAGGAACCUGACGCCUGGUCGAGGGAAGAGUCCAGUGCGGGAGAAGGCCCUGAAGACACAAGGGGGAAAAAGGAAGGCGGCCUCGUCGCCGGGAGGCUUUCUUCCGGUCGUAACCGAGGUGCUGCCGGCGUCGCGUUUGAGACCGGCGGGAAAACAGGUGGAGGAGAAACCGCCGAGGCAACGAAGAGCGCUGCACCAGGUUUCAUCGCGAGAGCCUGGAGAAGAGAGACGAUGCCGACAAGAGGGACGACGAGGACAAAUUGCAUGACCCCCACUUUGAGGUAACGGAGAAUGUGCGGCCCAGGAUGAAAAGAAGGAAAGAACAGAUUGAAUGGCGGCACCGGCUUCACCAGCUUCGGGUCGCAGGCGAGGGCCAUGGAGAUGCAGCGAUCGUUUCCUGGCGCAAGACACAGACUGCCAAAAGAAGCAUGAAGCACACAAGCGGUCGUCGAGCGACUGAGAGCAAUUCGACACUCGAGAAGAAGACAGUCGGCGAACUGGAGUUCGCGGUUCGCAGGGGAGCGAAAGGCGCUCUGGGCAGUCUGGAGAUGCGGCGAAUCUGUGGGUGAAAAUUCGUAGCCUAAAACGUGGUAGGUGCGUGACUGAGGAGCACACAAAACACUACGCAGAUGUUUGCAGAUCCACGGACACACCGUGGACCUCGAAAGCAGUGGCGAUUCACUGAGUCGAAACUGAAUGAGUUGAACUGUAGUUUCCUAAGACAUGCAGAAGUUACUCCUUAUCGAGUACGGUAUAGGCGUCACGCAUUAAAUGGUGUUAUAAAUGGUGUUACCACGUGUACUAGCAGCGACAGAAGCGACCACAACAUGCGAUGAAUGCGCUAUUCACAAAGGCAGCAGCCUUCUUCUAAGGAAGCGUUUUCUGUCCUUGUCUCGGCCUUCCUUCCAGGUCUCGUCCGUCACUCUUGAAUGUUGGUACAUUCACAGCUAAUUGUCCUGCGAAAAGUGCGAAGUUCGUGCUUUCCAUGGAAACGCGCUGACAACAAAAGCCUGGUGGUCCUCCCGGAAGC
RNAcentral lists this long non-coding RNA (1576 nucleotides) under Toxoplasma gondii VEG. The record is from RNAcentral. Lineage: Eukaryota; Apicomplexa; Conoidasida; Eucoccidiorida; Sarcocystidae.